RNAcentral lists this ribosomal RNA (253 nucleotides) under uncultured bacterium. RNAcentral describes it as "partial 16S ribosomal RNA". It matches the Rfam family "Bacterial small subunit ribosomal RNA", at positions 524 to 776 of the family's 1533-position model. The record is from RNAcentral.
UACGUAGGGUGCGAGCGUUAAUCGGAAUUACUGGGCGUAAAGCGUGCGCAGGCGGUUUUGUAAGCCAGAUGUGAAAUCCCCGGGCUUAACCUGGGAAUGGCAUUUGGGACUGCAAGGCUCGAGUGCGGCAGAGGAGACUGGAAUUCCUGGUGUAGCAGUGAAAUGCGUAGAUAUCAGGAGGAACACCGAUGGCGAAGGCAGGUCUCUGGGCUGACACUAACGCUCAUGCACGAAAGCGUGGGGAGCAAACAGG